UUUUUUUUUUUGGUCUUUUUAGCCUCCUGCCCACUGCAUAUGGAGGUUCCCAGGCUCGGGAUCGAUUCAGAGCUGUAGCCACUGGCCUGCCCCACAGCCACAGCAACACAGGAUCCAAGCUGCGUCUGUGACCUACACCACAGCUCACAACAAUGCUGGAUCCUUAACCCACUGAGUGAGGCCAGGGAUCGAACCUACGUCCUCAUGGAUGCUAGUCAGAUUCGUUAUUGCUGAGCCACACGGGGACCUCCAGACCAUCUGUUUUCGAAGCUGUAGCUGAUCGUAGAGAUGAUGAUGACACAGCCAUGCUAUGGCUGUGGGGACACACACUGAAAGUGACACCACCUGUGCAUGCCGAGGAAGAGCAGUCUGUGGCAGAACCGCAAGGGCCGCCCCCCCUUUCCCACACUCUGUUCUCCUUCGCCUUGACCCCCCUUUGCCUGGAAGUUACCCGAAGCUGGGUCGCAAGUGUGAAACAGGAAUCUGCCAGACUCAUGCCUUCUAUCCCAGGAAUCCAGGGAUAGAAUGGACCCAGAGGGAGAGAGAACAGGGGACCCUGGCCUGGGAGCAACCAGCAUUACACCUGCGUGCCACCCCCAACUCUCAACAAGAGCCUACCUGCCCUCCGCACCCACCCUGAGGGUGAGGUUUGAAAAGACCACCUCUAUCUGGAAGGGGCAGGAAGACAGGAGUGAUUCCUCUGAGAGCAAGAGGGAAGCCCCAGGUGGGUUUCUAGAAGGGUCUGUCAGGAGCAGGAGUCAAAGCUGAGCUUUCACGAAGCCAAGAAACAGCAUCCAUGUUAGCAUCAGGACAGAACAGGCUGCUGCUGCAUACAGAGGCCACCCGCCUGCAGGUGUCUGCCUGCAGCAGAAACUUUGUGAUGAGAAGACAACGGGAGGGGGCAGAUGCUGAGCAGGGAGGGAGGGACCCCUGCAGAGCAAACACCCCAAAGAGGACCCCCAUCCCUGGUUUCCGCUGCACCCUGGGCUAUCUGGCCAAAAUUCUAACGACAAGCAUACGCCCAACAAAUCACACUGAGAGACACGCUGCAGAAAACCUCAAACAUGGAAAGGUCGCCAAAGACAAGAAAGACAGAUGGAGGAGACGUUGCACUGAAAGGAGAUGAAAGAGGCAGAACAAGUGAAUACCCCGGUGACUCUGGGUAGGAUCCUGGAACCGGGCCGGGGGACCGCUGUUAGCAGGAACAGCACACCGCCACAACGACUGGACCUAGAAUACUGACUGGGGGUUAGAAGACACCGUAUCCGUUGCGAUCUGAUUCCCGUAAUGACACUCUCCCUCUGCGGUUUUUCUUAUGCGAUUUACAACUAAACACUCUGGUCUCAGGUAGGACCCCAGUGGAUCAACACUCGGAACCUUACACACAUAACCCUUAUUGGAAGCACUGUGAUGGGUCCGUGCUGGAUGGGACCCACCUCGCAGGGUGGUUCCCCACCUCUGGGGCACAGCUUGUCACGAGGGCGAGUAAGUCCCCUACUGUGCAGCACACGGAACCAGAACCAGUCUCUUGCGGAGUUCCCGUCGUGGCGCAAAUGGACACAGAUCAGGAUGGUGUCCUUCUGGUGCAGCUGGAACCAGCUGGGAAGAGGACGGGAGGGCGGAAGGCAGCAUGGGCUGAGCACCCACUACGCGUCUGUACCCGCCCUGGAUGCUUGUGUAUUCUUCAUCUCACCGAAUACCCACAAUGCUAUUUUAAGACAGUUCCUAUUCCUGUCCCCACUUCAUUGAGGUGAAGCUGGAGGGGGGGGUCUCGGGGCUCACGCAUACAGCUGGAAAGUGACAGAACUGGGAUUGGGGCCACACUGACCUGGUUCUAAAAUCUUUGCAUGACACGGCAGGAACACCCAACCGCCCCCCCGCCCGGCCCCCAGUAUCUCCAGUAACCACACACCUGUCUAUGCCGACACCGCGAAUGAAAGAACCUCUCGGUUCCAGGGACCACCACUCACACUCCUCUUUCUGUCUGGUUCUGAUAAAAAUGCUGUACUUGUGUGGACUAAAACCUACUCCUUUGAACAGUCCCUCUAUUAGACUUUAAGUUCUCUUGAGCCGUUGUUGAGAACCAUCUGUUUCCACAGCAUAGACCCUGCAUUGCUUUUGCUUUUCAGCUUCAGUUUUUUCAACAACCCCUCAAGACCACACGAUCUCAGACUCCCUGCCACCCUGGCUGACACCGUCUAGAGCAGUGACGCUCGGGACAUCUUUCUGAGAAGAAGGAAACGCUCUGGGUCUGUGCUGCCUAAUUCUCCAGCCCUGGGCACACAGGCUCCCGAGCGCCUGAAAUGGGGCUGGUGCUGGAAAAUCGGAGGGUUCACAUUUAUUUAAUGUUUCAAAUCAUUGUUUUUUUGAAGUAUGGUUCAUUUACAAUGUGUCAGUUUCAGGUAUAAUUACUUCAAAUGUAAAUGUCCAUGAAUGGUGAGUUGCUAUCACAAUUAUUAUUAUUUUUUACUACAUAAUGAUUUUUAUUUUUUCCAUUAUAGUUGGUUUACAGUGUUCUGUCACUUUUCUAUUGUAUGGCAAAGUGACCCAGUCCUAUACACACACACACACACACACACACACACAUUGUUUUUCUCACAUUAUCCUCCAUCAUGUUCCAUCAUAAGUGACUAGAUAUAGUUCCCUGUGCUAUACUUGCUAUCAUAGUUUUAGACAAUAGCUCCAGGGAAAGUACACGUUUCUCUUAAAAACAGGUCUCCCGUGGAAACAACCUAAGUUUCCAUCCACAGGGGAAUGGAUCGAGAAGAUGUGGUACAUAUACACAAUGGAAUACGACGCAGCCACAAAAAAGAAUGAAACAACACCAUUCACAGGUCCAUGGAUUGACCUAGGGAUGAUCAUAUUAAGUGAUGUAUGUCAGACAAAGGCAAAUAUAUGAUAGCACUUACAUGUGGAAUCUAAAAAUAUGACACAAUUGAACUUAUCUACACAAGAGAAACAGACUCAAGAACACAGAGAACAGACUUGAGGUUGCCAAGGGGGAGGCUGCUGGGAGAGGGGCAGAUUGGGAGCCUGGGAUUAGCAGAUGCAAACUAGUAUAUAUAAAACGGAUAAACAACAAGAUCAUUCUGUACAGCAGAGAGAAUUACAUUCAAUAUCCUGUGAUAAGCCAUAAUGGAAAAGACUAUUUGAAAUGAGACUGGAUAUAUAUGUGUAACUGAAUCACUGUGCUGUGCAGCAGACACUAACACAACGUUGCAAAUCAACUAUACCACAAUAAAAAAAAGGAAAGCUAGAAAAAGGGCGGCUUUCCUAGAACUGGACACUGUGCUCCAGACGGAAUGAGCAGCAGCCACAUUUUCACCCGUUCGGACUUGGCCGUGCCACCCAGAUGGCUCGUCUGGCACUGAGAAUCAGCUAAAACCCCUAAGACUUGUGCACACCCCCUGCAUAAAGGCACCUCUCUUCCAAUCUUACCUGGCUUCCCCAGACAGCAUCCUCGGCUUCCAAACAGGGCAGAGGUGAAGGAAUUAAGUGGCACAGGAUCGGGGUGAGCUGCCUGAACUGUAUGGACCCUGCUCACUGACCUCACGGAGCAGGAACAGGAUGGCCACACGCCACACUGUUCUGAAGCCUAUAACCCUUGAAAGAAGGGUUUUGCCAAACCGCAGUUAAGGGAACUGCCUCAGAAGAAGAAACAUGUCAGGGCAGACAGCCUCCAUCACGGCAGCAUCCCUGUGCAAUGAGCCAGGAUGCAAGGCAGCCACAGCAGCCCAGGGCCAAGGUCAGGUCAGGUAAUCUGGAUGGGCAGUGGGGGUGUCAGGCAGGCGGGGAGCAUAAGGCUUCUGUGGACAAAGGCAGGAGAGACCAGGGCUCUGCCAAGCCAGGCAGAGGGCUGUAUGGGGUUCAGCCAAUGGUGCCGGCGCAAGCUCUGCACCGUGGGGGGGCUCCUACUGCCCCUGAAGUGCAGUUACAAGACUGGCCCAGAGGGCAGAUUCCAGCGAAGGGCACAGGACUGUGAAUCUGGGCAUAGCACCCCUGAAAAGACUAACGGGGUCGGUGCCCCUGCUGCUGCCCAGCAGGUCUGCGCAUGCGUGGAUGGCCGCGGACCCCUCCACACGGCGCCGCAUGGGUCCUGGAGCCUCGACGUCGGCACCAGAAGAACCUGUUCUCAGGUAGGGAUGUCAAUCCAGCCUCACUGUGCGCGUGUUUAGAAAUCCCCAAACGUGGUAUCUUUGGGUCACAGUCACCACCGAGCUUGGUGACCAUCCUUUUAGACUUCACCCCACCAAGCUCCACAAUUCCCCGUUUGACAGGAAUUUACCCUCAGGGAACCCUGGUUGGAAAAGCAGGGAAAAGCAGCAGACGCCCAGGGAGCUGCCGAACUAGAGACCCCUCAGGCUCCGGGUCUGCCUGAGGGAUGACCAGCAGGGAAACACUGCAGACAGAUGCCCGCUCACUUACAGGAAGGCGCCUGUGUGCUGCCACCUGCCGCCGGAACCCUCCCUUCGGGGGUCCGGCCUCCUCCACGCCCCCCUCCUCUGCUCGCAUCUAUGCACGUUUACCCCCCAAGCAGCCUCGUUCCGACCCUGGGUCCCACACUCCUCCUCCACAUCCAGACGGCAGCGGAUCCACCUCGGAAAGCACCUGCAGAACUUUCCCGUUUCCAAUGUCAGGACAAUUGGUGGUUCCGUCUAUGUGUCAGCCUGACUGACCACAGAGCCCCCCGGGUUAAACGUGGUUCCUGGGUGCAUCUGUGAGAGUGUUUCCAGGCGGGCUUUGCAUGUAAAUCAGUGGUCUUAGUACAAGAGAUCGCCCCCCUCCCCACCCCAGGGCAGGUGGGUACCAUCCAGUCUGCCAAGGGCUGAAGAGAACAAACGUUAGGGGAAGGACGAGCCUCCGCUGCUGCCUGACCACUGAGAUGGACAGUGCAUCUCCUGCCCAUCAGUCCCCCUGGUUCCCAGACCUUCAGACUCAGACUGAACCACAGCCCCGGCUGUGCUGGGGUCCAGCCUGCAGACAGCAGAUCGAGGGGCUUCACCAGAGCCCACAAGAGUCACCUGUCUCCAUGGGGGACCCACUGGCACUUCCCUUCCAUGUAAAGCUGACCGCAGGUGAGAGCCAGGACAGAAUCAAAGCCAAGGAAAAAUACAGCUGCACCCUUUCCAUACAUGCUGUUGACCAGGCCGUGUUUGCUUCUGCCCUCAGUCACGGGCAGAGUCUCCUGUGCCCAGGACACUCCUCCAACUUGUCCAAACUUGCGUUCCCUGGGUCCCUCGGAGCUUCUGAUUCCCUCUGAGAUUCUCAAAGUCACUGCAUCUCCAGCUGUCUCCCAUCAGUUGGGUUCC
Molecule: long non-coding RNA, 5309 nt
Filed under: Sus scrofa (pig)
Lineage: Eukaryota; Metazoa; Chordata; Mammalia; Artiodactyla; Suidae
Description: lncRNA (ENSSSCG00050053438.1)
Source: RNAcentral